CAAGGUAAUUUAAAUAUCAAUACAUCCGCUCUUGAUUAAUAAUAUUAUUAAUCUAGACGAAUUCAAUCAAUUUUAAUCAUAUUUACCCUUUUAGCGGUAUAUAAACUACUGCCUGACCUCACAGCAAAAAAACAAAUAAAUGAUAUCGACACAUAAACCGAAGAUAGUCUUACUUUAUGAUGUGUUUAAUUCGAGAUGUUCUAGGACAGAUAUCAAACUGAACGAGCCUAGAAGUGUUAAAAAUACAUAUCCCAAAAUGGAUAUAGAGCAUACUCAAGGAAACAGCUUAUUUUUUAAUGGAUACUCAAGGAAACAACUUGGGUGGGAAUAAUCUGAAUAUAAACAUAAAAUAUGUUAAUAAUAAGAAAUAAAUUAUGAAACACUAAAGACAGCAUCAACUAACAUUGUCAGCAUCCCAAACCCUGACAGUUUUGUCAAAAGAAGAUGUUGCAAGUCUUGCCAUGCUUGGACUGAAACGAACAUCAGUUAUUAGCGACGAGUGCUCCUCAAGUGUCGUUUUUUGCUUCAAGGUAUCAGUAUACCAUAAAACAGCCUGAAACGAAAGAUAGAACAUAAACAGUAAAGUUAUUUCUCCAUAACAACAACGCAUUGCUUCGAUGCUACAGAAAUACACUUUGAACGAAAUCAUUGAUACUUCUACACUAACCUUUUUGUCAUGACCUCCACUAGCUAGCAGUUUUCCAUCAGAGGAAAAGUGACAACAAACAACUUUACUAGCACUAGCCCGAACAGAAUUCACUUCAUUAAAUGUGAACCCUAUAAUCAAAGGUUCUUCUAGUCAGAAUAUACCCCCAUUCAAAAUUCUAGAUAAACUAGGAAGCCAACCCAUUUCCUAGUUGGCAAAUUAUAGAUAAAAUUCAUGUUAUUUGCUAAUAAAAAGCACCAUGAAUCGACUUUAAACAAGAACUCUUCACAACCAACACCCCAUCUGCAAAACAGCAAUUUCAUAAACCUUUAUGAUACAUAUACCAUAGACGUAAAGAGAUAUUAGAAAGUAAAUGCACCACAGAAAGGAAUAUUCUUUUGUUGGUCUCUGGACAACCAUUAAUCUCUUUCCUUUUCUUUUCUUUCUUUUUUAUGGGGCCAGGGAUUAGCUGAACUAGAGGCAUUCUAUAGGACGCAUGCAAGCUUCCAGAAAUCAAAGUACCAAACAAUAAGUUAAGAUCUGAUUUAGAUCUUGAAAGGCUUAGAGAGAUGAAAGCAUUGCAGCUGUCACUGCCUAGUUAAUAGAGCUUCCAUGUAUAAAUUUUACCAUAACUAAAACACAAAAGGAGGAGGCGUCAUAUACAACUGCUGUUUAGUACAAGACUACACAAUAUUCAGGACUAAAUUUUAAGUCACGGAACCAAGUACACCUCACUAACCUUUACUGACAUCCAUACCGCGACCAACUGUAUCCCGAGGAUCGGCCUCGUCGUGAGAUAAAAAUGACUCAACAUUAUCAUCAAGAGAACCAUCAUCCACAAACCGAUCCAUAUCAGCCUGCACAAGAUCUUUGUCAUCCCACUGCCAAAAUUGCAUUCUAUGAGGACUGGAACAACCCAUUAAGGUUUCAUCCACUAGCACAAGAUAAAGUAUUUCUAUUACCAAUUGAUUCGAUGGGGAUGUAAGAGUGCCAUUAUUAUCUGCUCCAAAGAUCAUCAAUGGUUUCGAAGAACUUCCACUAUGUUGCAAGGCAGGCAUUGAAAUCACAUCUCCAGGUGUGUGAGUCGAUGGUGUUGAGGGAGCAGAACUUGGGGAAGGUCCAGCAGUGUUUGCAGUUCCUGAGCUAUUGGCAGGCCCUGAAGAUGAAACAGGAUGUUUUCUCUUUCUCCCAGUCUGGUUUUUUGAAGCCUUGAAAGACAAGAAAAGCAUAUUAGGAAUCUUAACUUCAAGCCUGUGAAGUUGAGAUUCAGAGUCUCCAAUAUGGUAAUCUUUCCAUUGAUCCCUUUUAAGUCAUGAGAGAUCAAGAUGUCCUAUCAAUAAACAUAUUACAUAAUAUUUCUACUUCAUAUUCUAUGGUGCUUGGGAUGAAACAAACUAAACCAUUAAUAGCAUGUUAGGAUCAUCUACCAAAAAAGUAGCAUGUAAGGGUCAGCACAACAACAAUGAAUUAUAUUAACAAGAGAAAUCCUCUAGUUUCAUAGCAACUUUGUUUAUGCGUUUAAUAUUAGCCAAAAAAGUAGCAUGCAAGGAUCAGCACAACCUGUAUGAAUUAUAUUAACAUGAGAGAUCCUCUAGUUUCAUAGCAGCUUUGUAUUAGAUAAGCGUUAACUUGAAAGAGUAUCUUUUCAAACUAGAGAAGUGCUGAAGUCAAAGAUUUGCAAGUUGCAAGAAGGAAAUAAAAGAGAGGGAGGGGGAUAUCCACGACUAUAAACCCAAACACAACAAGGAUACUGCAAAAAAUGCAUUAAUCUUAUCCCUACAAAUAAAUUGGUCACUUUUCUCGAUUGCCUUCUCUUUUGGAUUUUAUAAGGAUUGCCUUCUCUUUUAUCAUUCUUCUCCAAUGUUUCCUCUUCUCCCCCAGGUCUUUUUUCUUCUUUUGUUAAUUCUGUGGAUACUUUUCAUGGGCCCUGUAAUUUCUUUCUUCGUCCCCCCUCCCCCCUCCCCCUCCCCUCUUUUUACUCUUUUGUAAAUUCUCGUGGAUACUUUUCAUGGCCAGUGCUCCUCAAGUGUCGUUUUUUGCUUCAAGGUAUCAGUAUACCAUAAAACAGCCUGAAACGAAAGAUAGAACAUAAACAGUAAAGUUAUUUCUCCAUAACAACAACGC
Molecule: long non-coding RNA, 2770 nt
Filed under: Nicotiana benthamiana
Lineage: Eukaryota; Viridiplantae; Streptophyta; Magnoliopsida; Solanales; Solanaceae
Description: long non-coding RNA (NBEN_LNC013438)
Source: RNAcentral